RNAcentral lists this ribosomal RNA (570 nucleotides) under Lipomyces starkeyi. RNAcentral describes it as "partial large subunit ribosomal RNA". It matches the Rfam family "Eukaryotic large subunit ribosomal RNA", at positions 74 to 663 of the family's 3401-position model. Lineage: Eukaryota; Fungi; Ascomycota; Lipomycetes; Lipomycetales; Lipomycetaceae. The record is from RNAcentral.
AUUGCCUUAGUAACUGCGAGUGAAGCGGCAAGAGCUCAAAUUUGAAAUCUGGCACCUUCGGUGUCCGAGUUGUAAUUUGUAGAAGCAUCUUUUGGAUUGGUCCUUGCAUAUGUUCCUUGGAACAGGACAUCAUAGAGGGUGAGAAUCCCGUUCAUGGUGGGGAAUCCAAUUCUUUGUAAAGUGCUUUCGAAGAGUCGAGUUGUUUGGGAAUGCAGCUCUAAGUGGGUGGUAAAUUCCAUCUAAAGCUAAAUAUUGGCGAGAGACCGAUAGCGAACAAGUACAGUGAUGGAAAGAUGAAAAGAACUCCGAAAGGAGAGUGAAAAAGGACGUGAAAUUGUUGAAAGGGAAGUGCUUGAGAUCAGUCUUAAGGUUUAGUGAUCAGUCUUCCUUUUGGUUGGUGCACUCACUAUUUCUUAGGCCAACAUCAGUUUUGGCGGCAGGAUAAUGACAUUGGAAUGUGGCUCUUUCGGGAGUGUUAUAGCCUUUGUUGAUACUGCCUGCUUAGACUGAGGACUGCGCUUUUGCUAGGAUGUUGGCAUAAUGAUCUUAAGCAGCCCGUCUUGAAACACG